Molecule: ribosomal RNA, 377 nt
Filed under: uncultured eukaryote
Lineage: Eukaryota
Description: partial 18S ribosomal RNA
Rfam family: Eukaryotic small subunit ribosomal RNA
Source: RNAcentral
CAAUAGCGUAUAUUAAAGUUGUUGCAGUUAAAAAGCUCGUAGUUGGAUUUCGGGGCAGCCUGGCUGGUCCGCCGCAAGGCGAGUACUGGUCAGCCGCCCUUCCUCUCGAAAGCCCCGACUGCUCUUUAUUGCAGUGGUCGGGUAGUUCGGGACGUUUACUUUGAAAAAAUUAGAGUGUUCAAGGCAGGCCUACGCCUGAAUACAUUAGCAUGGAAUAAUGGAAGAGGACCUCGGUCCUAUUUUGUUGGUUUCCAGGACCGAAGUAAUGAUUAAGAGGGACAGUUGGGGGCAUUCGUAUUUAAUUGUCAGAGGUGAGAUUCUCGGAUUUAUGAAAGACGAACAACUGCGAAAGCAUUUGCCAAGGAUGUUUUCAUUAA